RNAcentral lists this ribosomal RNA (828 nucleotides) under Phaeolepiota aurea. RNAcentral's name for it is "partial large subunit ribosomal RNA". It matches the Rfam family "Eukaryotic large subunit ribosomal RNA", at positions 88 to 900 of the family's 3401-position model. The record is from RNAcentral. Lineage: Eukaryota; Fungi; Basidiomycota; Agaricomycetes; Agaricales; Squamanitaceae.
UGCGAGUGAAGCGGGAAAAGCUCAAAUUUAAAAUCUGGCGGUCUUUGGCUGUCCGAGUUGUAAUCUAGAGAAGUGUUAUCCGCGCUGGACCGUGUACAAGUCUCCUGGAAUGGAGCGUCAUAGAGGGUGAGAAUCCCGUCUUUGACACGGACUGCCAGGGCUUUGUGAUGCGCUCUCAAAGAGUCGAGUUGUUUGGGAAUGCAGCUCAAAAUGGGUGGUAAAUUCCAUCUAAAGCUAAAUAUUGGCGAGAGACCGAUAGCGAACAAGUACCGUGAGGGAAAGAUGAAAAGAACUUUGGAAAGAGAGUUAAACAGUACGUGAAAUUGCUGAAAGGGAAACGCUUGAAGUCAGUCGCGUUGGCCGGGAAUCAACCUUGCUCUUUUGCUUGGCGUACUUUCUGGUUGACGGGUCAGCAUCAAUUUUGACCGUUGGAUAAAGGCUUGGGGAAUGUGGCAUCUUCGGAUGUGUUAUAGCCCCUGGUUGCAUACAACGGUUGGGAUUGAGGAACUCAGCACGCCGCAAGGCCGGGUUUUUAACCACGUUCGUGCUUAGGAUGCUGGCAUAAUGGCUUUAAUCGACCCGUCUUGAAACACGGACCAAGGAGUCUAACAUGCCUGCGAGUGUUUGGGUGGAAAACCCGGACGCGUAAUGAAAGUGAAAGUUGAGAUCCCUGUCGCGGGGAGCAUCGACGCCCGGACCAGAAAUUUAUGGACGGUUCCGCGGUAGAGCAUGUAUGUUGGGACCCGAAAGAUGGUGAACUAUGCCUGAAUAGGGUGAAGCCAGAGGAAACUCUGGUGGAGGCUCGUAGCGAUUCUGACGUGCAAAUCG